AUAGUAUCUUGCUACUGAUCAGCAGGCAUUCAGCAGAAAACAAACACCAGCAUUUCAUGGAUGAAAUAACACAUAGUCCACUGGAUAUCUUUAUUUGCAAGAAGUGCCUCUCUCCUCAGUACUGGAUGCAAUGGCUUAGUCAAUGAAACUUAUGUAAAACUAAUUUUCCUGCUCCUAGAUCAAGCUAUUAAAUGGAAAAACGAAAAUAACUUUGGUGUUCAUAGCAACUGUAGAGGUACGACAAAG
Long non-coding RNA from Crotalus tigris (Tiger rattlesnake), 246 nucleotides. RefSeq lists it as uncharacterized. The record is from RefSeq and is a predicted model, not a curated record. NCBI's taxonomy places the organism in Eukaryota, Metazoa, Chordata, Lepidosauria, Squamata, Viperidae. The transcript is spliced from 3 exons.